This 446-nucleotide ribosomal RNA is filed under the name Amphibacillus sp. F01M009. RNAcentral describes it as "bacterial SSU rRNA". It matches the Rfam family "Bacterial small subunit ribosomal RNA", at positions 95 to 526 of the family's 1533-position model. RNAcentral also lists the same sequence under 15 other names. Lineage: Bacteria; Bacillati; Bacillota; Bacilli; Caryophanales; Bacillaceae. The record is from RNAcentral.
GCGGCGGACGGGUGAGUAACACGUGGGCAACCUACCUGUAAGACUGGGAUAACUUACGGAAACGUGAGCUAAUACCGGAUAGUUUCACUUCUCGCAUGAGAAGUGAAGGAAAGAUGGCUUUUAGCUAUCACUUACAGAUGGGCCCGCGGCGCAUUAGCUAGUUGGUGGGGUAAAGGCCUACCAAGGCAACGAUGCGUAGCCGACCUGAGAGGGUGAUCGGCCACACUGGGACUGAGACACGGCCCAGACUCCUACGGGAGGCAGCAGUAGGGAAUCUUCCGCAAUGGACGAAAGUCUGACGGAGCAACGCCGCGUGAGCGAAGAAGGUCUUCGGAUCGUAAAGCUCUGUUGUUAGGGAAGAACAAGUACCGGAGUAACUGUCGGUACCUUGACGGUACCUAACCAGAAAGCCACGGCUAACUACGUGCCAGCAGCCGCGGUAAUAC